RNA transcript from Alligator mississippiensis (American alligator), 10728 nucleotides. It is a transcript of the gene named ChaC glutathione specific gamma-glutamylcyclotransferase 2, with no coding region annotated. The transcript is spliced from 3 exons. The record is from RefSeq and is a predicted model, not a curated record. Lineage: Eukaryota; Metazoa; Chordata; Crocodylia; Alligatoridae.
AGCUGUUCCUGAACCCCGCUUUGCCAAAUAUUGGAUCUGCCCCUGUGAGCAGUCUAUCAUUAGACUGAAGCUGCAAGAAACAAAUAAACAAGUUCUGUGACUUGUCCUUUGGGGACUCACCCUCCUGUCUUAGUAACAUCAUUAUGGCUGUAAAUAGCUUUAGCAGACCUGGUGGGAAAAAGAGCUGCCACAGCCAGCUGUAUAGGCUAAUAAAAAAAAAAAAAAAAUGUUGUCCUGCUCCAACAAAAUCUGGUUUUAAAUCAGUUUAACUGGCACAGCCUCCUAUCUUGCAACUUGUAACUGUUUUCAACAAACUUAUAUUAGUUCCACUCAAACUAAAAUAAGUAGAUUUAAGCCUGACAAAUUGAUUCCAUAGCUUUCAGAGACAGUGUUGCAACAGUUCAGUUAAAUCAAUUUUAGUUAAACCACAGUAACUUGUGUGUUCAGAACAAGCCUAGCACUUCUAGCCUUGAAGAUAAAUACUGCAGCACAGAUAGGAUCUGAAUUGUUAAUAGAAAAGCAACCAGAGAAAAAGCCCACUUAGACCAUUUUUUUAAGCAGCGAAGCAGGAAAACCAGUACAGGCAGGGUUUGGGGGUUUUUUUGGGAGGGAGGGGUGUUAGGCAUUUUGUUUGUUUUGCUUUUUUGCAGGUCACUAUUAAAGACCUCAUAGCUUUAGAUUCUUAUGGAUUAGCUGUGCUCAUAUAUGCACAAUCUUCAGUCUGUAAAGGGAGUAUGCAAAGUGGAUGGGUGCGUGUGGAGAGUCCUGCAAAAGUACUGUAGCACUUCUCUCUUCCACUUGCUGUACCUGCACAAGACAGGAACAUCAGGGGAGCUGUUUCUGAGGAAUCUGAUACACAACUCCUAGGGACACUGUAGUUAAUACAUGGAUGGCUUCCUAGUUAUGUCCAGAAAUACAAUUUUUCUUAAAGGCUACAAAAAGCAAGUUAAUGUGCAGUCAGUCCAAAUAUUCCAUUUUAAUUCUGAAUUUCAUUUUCAUAAUUGAUGAAAAAUGUAGCAUAGUUUUUACUGUCAGUAUAACUGAACUAAUCAACUUUAUUGAGACUUUUUAAGUAGUUUCUGAAAUGUUAUUGCUUACCACUAACAAUCUAACAUACAAAUGUAUCAUAGCAUAUUAUUAUUGCAUUAUUAUUACCCUGAAAGCCAAAAGGCUUUUGGCCAGUACAAGAAGUUCUUACUUUCUAACUUGUGCUAAGCAAAUUGUGUGCUUAGCAGUGUCAAUUAUACAGAGCUAAAUCAUCCCUAGUAUAAAGCCAUUAAAAUCCAGGGAAUUACACCAGGAUGUAGCCCAUUGUGCAUACUUUGGAUGUGAAACUGGUCCUUCAGUGAUACCACAGCUUAAAAAACAGGAAGAUAAUACUAGCCUACAAGCUGAAAAAAAACCUUGGGACAAAUGCACCAUUGCAUAGUCAGUGCAAAGAAAACAGAGAAUCUUUAUGUACAGGGUUUUGCAGAAGACAAGGCUUAGGUAACACCUUACGCAUACUUUUAAUAGUUCAUCUUACACAUUGUCAUAACAUAGUUACAAAUGUGAUGUCUGCCAUUAGAGCCAUAUUUCCUAACAUUUAUGAUAAAUUAGAAAAAUAUUCCUUGUUGCUACUGGGCAUGAAGGAAAAACUAAAAAUAAGAAAAGCUUCUUGCAAAAACACAAUUAAGUAUAUUAGCACGAUCACAUUUUAAUAUUUGGACUGGGUUAGCCUGAAUAUUACAUGCAACACAGCCAGUACUUCAGCAGGAAAUGAUAUUAUAUUCACUGACAUUUGGUAGCAUGUUUUUCAGCUAGGGGUAGAAAAAAUAAAGUCUGUGACUUACUGCAUUAAUUCUCUCCACAGGAACUGCUGAAUGUAUAACAGAAAUUCAAAAGUGGUGUAAAUUUCAGAAAACAUAGGCAAAGUUAUGAAAAAUUAUAUCUUGCACCAAUUUACAUAGAAUUUUCCAAACAGAACAAAAUAAUUAAAAACAUGAUCCCUGUCACUGAAUAAUGGUUUUAUAAGUUAUAUAGGGAUUACUGAUGAAGUGAUUGUUUGAAAAAGUAGGUUUAGAGAAGGAAAUGAGUAAAAGAGCAGGAGAUAAGAACAGUAGUAGGAUGAAAUAUUCAUGGGCCACGCCCAGAUGAGUGCAGCUGUGUCUGCAGUGCUACAUACCACAUGUUCAGCUGUUCUCUGUGCUGCACAGGAGCAGCACGGGGGGAGGGGGGCAUGACUCCUGGAUAUCCAGGGAUCAAAAAACCUGUGCAUAAAAAAUAAUAAAAAAAUAAAAAUACACAGGGGUAGCGCACACCACUCAAAACUGGAACCUGGAAAGCUGGAGCCAUGCUCCAACUACCAGCCAGGCUCCAAGCAUGAUCACUACUGCUGCAGCCCCAGGAGGCCCCCAGGUAAGGCUGCUGGGGCCAACACAGUGCUGGUCCCAGCCUCCCUUACCUCACCCAGGGUGACCAGCUGCACAACUGGCACCAGAGGUCACAUGGCACAGGCAUUCCCUGGGGGCCAACUAGCAGCCGCACAAAGUGUGCCACUGCUAGUUGUCCCCAGGGAACCAAGUAUCCACACUUGUGUGGACGCAGCCAUGGAGUCUAAAGCUAGAAGCUGCUGAAGUCAUCUAGUCUGACCUACUGUAUAGGCAAACAUGCAUGUCAUUCUCAGUAUUGGCUGCAUUUAAUCAGCUUCAUAGUUGGUUUCUGUUACUGAGCACAUAAUACUUUUAACAGCAGUUUAAAAAUAGACAAUACAUUUAAUGCUGUUUCCUUGUAUGAGAAUGCAAGAUAAAGGUCCCCUCCCCCCACCCCCAUGUGGGUUGGGAGGAGCCAGGGGACUUUUUAUUGUAUUCAAGUAAAUACAGUACUUAAGAUUUAGGAAACUGAUCUCUUGGAAAUUUCCAGGUGUACAUGUUACUAGUUGGUGCUAUAUUCUGUUCCUCAAAACAAAUACUGUAUAACCAUAUUACAGUCACUACUAGUAUGUAAGCAUUUUUUUGUCUAGUUAACUCUUGGUACAUUACAAAAAGUCCAGAUUCACUACCCUCCUAAUAAUAAAGCUUUUCCUCACAUCUAACUUGAUCUAACUGAGAACAGUCUAGCUCCAUCCUCUUGGGAACCACCCUUCAGGUAGUUGAUGGUUGCUAUUAAGUCCCCCCUCAUCUUUUCUUCCAACUAAAUAAGCCCAGGUCCCUCAGCCUCUCCUCAAGCCAUGUGCCCCAGCACCCUAACUGCUUUCAUUACUUUCUGUUGGACUCUCUUCAACUUGUCUACAUCCUUUAGAGCAGAGGGGCAAAACUAAACACAGUACUCCAGCUGUGGCCUCAUCGGUGCCAAAACAAGGGAAACAAUCGCUUUCUUAGAUCUGCUGGCAAUGGUUCUACUAAUGCAGGCCAGUAUGCUGUUAGCCUUCUUGGCAACAAGGGCACAGUUGACUCAUAUUCAGCUAAUUGUCCACUGUAACCCCCAGGUCCUUUUCUAAAAAGCUCCUGCUUAGCCAGUCAGUCCCCAGCCCGUACAAGUCCAUGCAACUGUUCCGUCCAAAGUGCAAGACUUUGCACUUCUCCUUACUGAACUUCAUGAGAUUUAUUUAGGUCCAAUCCUCCAAUUUGUCAAGGUCUCUCUCAAUCCUAGCCCUACCUUUCAGCAUAUCCACUAUUCUAGCAUCUGACUCUCUUCACAAAAAGACAGUAGCAUUACUUUGCAAAUAUAGGAGUUCAACGUGCCAAAUAAGGAUAUAGUGUGGCACUCACAGGUGUGCAAUGAAAAAAAACUUCAGUCUUUUGCUCUAUAAAUGUCACACAGCAAUUAUGCAUUUGCAUGGCACUAUUGUGGAAAUGCAGGAAUUGCAAAAACAAAGAGAUUAUUUGCUAUUUGUGCAUUUUGGGACUAGCCCACCAACUGCUGAACAAUCAUUUGUUUGUCAAUAGCCUGUUUCAUUGUGGAUUAGCAGUGACCAAGCAGCCAUCUCUUGUGAGACUGUAUGCACAUCACAUAAUGGAGGGUUGUGGCAAAAUUCAGACCUAGGUUAAAUGCUUUUUAAAGAGAGAGUGAAAUUUGAAUAUGAAGUGGAAAAAAGCCUAAUGCACACCCUAAGAAAGUCAUCUAGGUUAAAUCUGGUGCCUUAACUUUCAGUUGUUUUAAUAUGCUACCCACAUCCAACUGGCUUCUGCAUACUUCCAUAUUAUCACAUUAAUACUCUAACAGUACUGCUCACUAUAUCUAAAAUGUUUUUUGCCUGCUUUGAAGACAGACAGCUGCAGUUUUAAUACGUUUAUUAAAAGCUAGUAUAUUAAAGUUAAUAUUUUAUUAACUAUGGAAGUAAAAAUGUUCACCUAUUAACUAUUAGGUAGUUUUUAGCCAUUAACUAGGGCAGUAGUUUCAAGUCAUUUAGCCUCUACCCCCUCCCCACUUCUGAAACUAUGGGAAUGUUUUAGAGAGCAAAACAUUCCAGGGUCUAACACAGGGCUGUCCAAUUUAUGAGCAUUUGGGGGCUGAACACCCCACAGGCUGUACCAGCAGGGGCCAUACCACAGCAAGCCACGGGUCCCCUGGGCUGCGCAUCAUUUGGACACCACCCCAGCUGCAGAGUACCCAAAUUGAUGCUCAUCCAUUGCAUCUUAUGCCAUGCCUGUACAGCCCCAGCCUCACUCUACACUUCACACACUACACUGUGUGCAGUGGGGUGGAAACAGUGAGUGGGAGCAGGUUGGGGUGAGCCUGGGAACUGCAUCUUAACCCUUCAUGAGUCACACAUGGCCUGCAGGCCACCAGUUGGACAGCCCUCACCUAACAGGUUGAACAAACAGAACUAUCUAAUCCAGAGCAUACAUAACACAGUUGUACAGAUACACUGGCACUUGCUUCAGAAGUGAAUCAGCUAGAUUGGCGCUAAGAACAGCCAGGGUAAUACAAUGGGAUUUGGUUAUCCAUCCAUAAAGGUAGUUGUAAUGGAUCUGGGGAAACUGAGCUCAUAAGUUUCUUGCUGCUCUGUAAUUAUUUCCCUUUCCACAAAGAAUUUACAGAAGCUUGCUAUGAAAAUCCGUAAUUAUCGUGGAAAAGCUACAUAGCAUAUUUUAUAUUGACUAUUUAGAGAGACUGUCAGCUUUAGUCAGUGUUUUAAUAAUCCAUCUGCAGAAAAACCUUAUGCUGACAGACAUUUAAAAAAAAAAAAAACUAGCCAAACCCCCCCCCCAAAAAAACUGCAGCGCUUUACUGAAAAAACACAUCAGUUUGACUCAGCUCUCCAAUGUCUGUAUCGAUUGAAUGCUUCACCAGGGGUUUUUGAUGCUUUUAUCUAAUAGCGGAUUAAAUCGCUAUUAGAUAAAGUGCCACAAAGCCCCACCAAAGUAUGCAAACUACACAGGCGCUGUGCAAGCCAGGUCAAACCGAUUCAGUGCCUCUUCUGGACGUGCGCUACACUCAGCACGGGGGCACACCAAGCUGACAGUAAAGUGCUGUUUUGUUUUGUUUUCUUCCAUGUCUGUAAGCAGCCUUAUAUUACCACAACUAAAAUAGCUGAGAACAACUUCCUUAGGUUUUCAGUUUAUUUUGAACCUGAAAUACUGUCAAAUAUACAAUACGCUACUUCCCUAGAGAUACUUAGUUUUGUCUGUUUGCUUGUUGUUACAGAGAAAGAAUCAUGAUUGUUAAGCCAUAAACAAGCAUAGGUUAGUUACAAAAAUGUAGUACUUGGAAUUAUUAUUUUUUUGUUUAAAUUAACUCCCUUUAAUGUUGAAAACGGUUUCUUUAUCAACAAUUACUACCUUUCUUUUAACCUCUUUUUGGGAAAGGUUUAAGAAAGAAUGAAUUUGAAGCUGCCCCUCAGUAAAACAUGUCCUCCUCAGUUUGACUUUACCUAAAUAUAGUUAACAAUUAAUUCCUCCUACCAUUAAAUGUAUAAAGCAAGCAGUCAGGCUGCCUUUAUUAUAUGAGCAACUUUUGGUGCUGUUGACAGGAGCAAGCCUGGAAUGUCUGGCAACAAACAAUACCUUAACUGGGUUUACUAACUACUCUCGCUGCAACAGGAAUGCUGCUAGUCCACACAUAUAGCAUUCUCCAGGGAUCAGUCCAGUCACCUGUCCUCAAGGUGUAUGCAAAAAAUCACUAUAAAAGAUGAGGCAGUUGUAGGUUCCAAAGUCAUCAUCAUACUAUUACUGCGUUUAUCUCAUUUUUCUUUUAACACAGGUUAUAUUGUCUCCUUACUCCUCAAGAACAGUAUCUGAAUGAAAGCAAGUGCGUGCAACUCAGAUAAGGCAGAAAUAUUUGACUACAGAAAGUACUUGGAGGAAUGGGCUGAGCAAUAGGUACCUGUUGUCAGAAUUGUUCACAGCCCUGGGUCACAUUCAUCUUCUCAGGUUUUCAUGCAGCAGUGGUUGGCUGUAGUAUCGUCAUCUCAGACUAGGCCAUAGGUAACUCAGUCUGCAGGCCAGAUGCAGUCCACACAGCCAUCUCAUUUGGCCUGUGGAGAUCCCCAAAGGUCCAGAAAUUUGGCAGCAGGGAAGUGAUGGCCAAUAAUAAAACCACUCUCCCCACUACCAAAUUCCCAAGUCCCAUGUGUGCCCGCUUCCCCUAUGAGACCAGUCCAUGCCCUCUCCACCUCUUCUGAAUUGGCCACGCCGCCUUCCCCCAAAUGGCCCAGGCCACAGCUCCUUCUCCCGUAGGGCCAGAUCAAGCUCCUUUCCCUGGAUCAGAACCACCAAUGAUCCAGCCCACAGAGGGACUGCCCAUCUAGCCCACCAGACAAAGAAGGUUGGGCAUCACUGGACUAGGCCAUUGGGCUGCAGCUAUACACCUGAGACAACAAUAAUGCCUUACUGUCUCCAGGCUACAAUUACUGCAUGAGGUUACCCUUGAAGUUCACCUGGAAACUCUACUGAGUCAAGUGCCUGGUGUAAAAAGACAGAAAGGUUCCUUGGGUGAAGAGAGGCAGAAUUAAAAUACACAUUAUUUGAUUUUCUGUAGGAACUUGCUUUUUCACUUCCAAAAGAAAUUCAAGUGAUAAUCCUUACACAUCCAAACGGUUUAGAAUAGUGGUGCCCAACCUUUUUGCAUGGUGGCCUGACAGGCAGUGCUUGGUCCCUCUAUGGGCCAGAUCCAAUCAGUGGUCCCAGUGCGGCACCCAGUGGUCCCAGUCUGGCAUGUAAAAUAGACACCAUCCAGCCAUGCAGAGGGGAGGCCAGCCACAACAUGGCCCCGCAGGGGAAAGGAGCUUGACCUGGCCUCACACAGGGGAAGGGGCAUGGCCCGAUCCCAACAAGGCCCCGUGGAGUGGGGAUAAGGGGAUGUGGACUGGCCGCUAUCCAGGGAAGGGAGAGGGGGCAUGGACUAGCCCACAGAGGAGAGAGGCUUAUGUGGAGCUUGGGAUUUGGGAACUUGGCAGUGGGGGAGGGUGGCUGUAUUAAUGGCCAAAUUUCUAGACCCAUGGGCCAGACGAAAUGGCAGUUGGGCACCCCUGGUCUAGAAUGUGGGUGAGACAGGUCAUUUCCAAACUAUAUUCUGCUGCACCAGGUAUAAUAAGCUGGGAGGUUCCUGGUUUCUUCCUGGAGUUGAGUACAAGACUUCUGCCAGAACUCUGUAUUUGUAACCCAACUCAAAUUCAGCCUAAAUUUGCCCUCUUCUAGUAAUAUUCCAAGACACAAUAACAAAAUGACAUGGUUUGCGGGUUCCCCCACUCAAUUUUCUUAUUUCAGACUGACAUAAUGGUUGUUUACAUCACUGUAUAUAGCAUGGAGUAAUUCCUUCAUUUUGUUCACCAAGGUAUUUCUAUGUAAAACUAGAACUUUCCAGAACAAUUAAAAUAUUUUCCUCAUUUAGAUAGAAUAUGCAACACCUUAGCAAUGUUUAUCUGAAGAAUAUUCAUCAUGUACUGUAGUACUUCAGUUUCCUUUUAUGCUGCUCUGAGGACUGACCAAGAUGUUUCAGAAGCUUAAAUUGACAGACUCAAAGCAUCACUACAUGGAUUAAAAAGAAAAUGACUAGCAAACCAGCAGCUAACAAACAACCCUGGAAGAGUUGUGACUCUUGUUGAAGAUCCUGAGCGCAGAUGAAACCAGUCACUUAGAGGGAACCACCCUGCACAACUUCGAGCUUGCCACCACCAAACCUCAUACAACUCAUCUGUCAGAAGCACACUUCAAUAACAAAUAAGUGGAACCCAACAUUCUCUAAACAUGUCAACACAUCUCUACUGCUAUCAAAACCUAUACUGCCCCACAAUGAAACCAUGACAAUACAAGGAUCUUACACAUCUGUUACUGAAUGCAGUAUCUCUCAUCUGGUGCACCAAAUGCCCUCAUUGAAGUUAUAUGGGUGACACUAAACAACCACUACAUUCCAGAAUGAGCUCAAGGAAAAAAAUGAUAAUGGAGAGAAACACCCAAUAACCUGGAGAACAUUUUUCACAGAACAAUCACUAUGUCUGAUCUUACAGUCCCUGUCAGUUUCCUUGACUACAAAACACCUUUAAAAGUUGGGCCUGGGAACAAAAAUUAGUAACUUUACUAGGCACUAAAUCCCAUAGACUAAACUCAUAUCCAUAGCUCAUUAUAAUGUCACUGAUGUCUCUUCCAUCUUCUCUGUUCUCCAUGGGAAGUAAUGACUCUUCCGUUUUGGAUGGUCUUAUUCUUGAACUAGGUUAUCUAAUUCAACUGCACACCUCGUUUCAAAUUUAUUUCUGAUAGUGUCUCUGCAGUUUACAGCAUGUUUUUAUUUAUACGUGGAGGUAAUACAAGCCACUGUUUUAUCUAGUACUUAGGUUAGGAUCUUCCUACUUCAUUCCCAGACCUAAAAAAAAGACACUUUGUGCCUGAAAGCAUUUCUAAUCUCUCCCCCAGCUAUGCAGUUGGUUCAUUUAAGGUUAUUACCAAAAAACCCUGCUUCUCACUGUGACCAAGAUAACCAGAAAACACUUACAAGCAUCACUUGUAUAACAAAACUAAGUAUGAAAAAAAGUCAGGAGAAUUCUACAGGUAUAGGAUUCUUUAUAUUUCUCUUUAUCACUCCAUUUUUGUCAUUCAUUUUUCAACUCCUUUCCUGCCUCAUAUUUCAAGAAAUUAAUAGGAAGAAUGAAAAAAAAAAAAAGAAUCAACUACUGAAUGAGUAACGAAGACACAAUAGCAGAAUUGGAAAAACACUGAAAUCAUUAGGAUCUUCUUUUAACUCAUUUAGAUUUAUUUUCCCUUUACCCCACAGAUACAAACAUCCCUUUUAGGUCAGUAAUAACUAUUUAUAUGCAACAAAAGGAGCCUUAUAAUUAAUUUGACCUGCAUUAUGUAUGCAGGUCAACAUAACAAUUAAAAGAUUUACCUGCAUUAUUUAUGCUUAAGACCAUAAUGCAGGAUGCAGUUACUGAAGUUGGGAAGAUCAAACUUUUAGGCCAAAAAUAAAGAAAACUUGGAAAGUAAAAGUGGCUUAUUUAAUAAAACCGAAGAAGAGUUGUAUAAGGGUUCAAUACUCAACCUCAGCUACCUUUCUUUUUGUUCUCUCCAUUUUUCCAUUAUCGUAGGCAUUUAUUAAAGGUCUUGUGAAGCAGAAACCAAUCAAGAAUUUGAAAGUGUUUUGAUUUAGGCAGGGCUGACUAAAAAAAAUCAGUUUGAUUGGGAAAAGAAUGGUCCAGUGGUAAAAUGUUCCUUUAAGAACACAGAAAAUGAAAAAUAAGCACUUUGUAUUCAAGUUUAUUUUCUCCACUAUUAGAAGAACAAAACCAUGUAGUGCUGCAUCUCAAAGCACCCAGAAUGCCACUAGUUUGGGAUUAUUGGUGAGAGUCCUAAAUCUCUUAGUGCUAUGCCAGUCCUUGAAAUGCACAGUCCUUUUAUAUCUCAAAUCGAAGCAGAAUAGUCUGAAAUAGGAAGGAACUAAUAGGUAUUAAAAGUGUGCAUCUUCACUUAAAACAAUGCCACCAAAUUCUUGAUUUUGGGCAGUCUGGGAUGUUGGCUUAGAAACGGUAUUUAAAGGCCUGUUUUUUGGGAAUUGGCUUACAGAUAUAGAUAUAUGCAUUAUAAGGGGUCAAGAUGGGCAACAGGGGUUAACUGGAUUUCUAAAGAAGUUGGGAGACACGCACACAGCUUCUGGUGGCCCUGGAAGUAGACGGGCUGUCUAGCACAACAAGACCAACAAGGACACAGUCUACGAAACAGCCUGGGAACCAAAAAAGUAUGUACCAUACUGUCCCAUAAAACAAGAUAAGUGACACCAGCAACAAGGCCUCAGAGAGCAGGGGGACCUAAGUCCCGGUUUGGUGGGGAACAGACCAAAUUAGGAGAAGGCCUGGAAGUGAACAUGUGACCACAGAGAGACAACCAACCAGAGAUAGCCAUGGAUGAAGAGUCAUCAGGAGUCAUCAAGGGGGAAGGAGAAUACAAAAGCAGAGACUUGAGAGUAACAAAGGGUCCCUCCCUUUGUCCUGUCCGUCCCUCCCUGUUUUCUCCCUGAGAGGGGUCCCCAUCCCUGUCCCCCAGGAAGGGUCCCUGAGGCCACCAUGAACAGAAGGCACAUACCAGCAGCCCAUGUCAUCCACAGCCCUGCUCCAGUGAGGUGCGUCUUGACAUUCCACUUCCAGACUGCUGACAACUGAGAGAGAGAGCCUCAGAGUGGAGCCUGCUUCCUGACCAGAUGUACUUUGACUCUGAUGACAGCCCUAGAAUUGGUAAAUAUAGAAUGGUUCAUUUGUUUGUUUUUUGCUUUUUUGUUCUUACUCUGUAUCAAUAAAUUCGCCUAUUAUCAACUGGCAGA